GAGAACCUGGAGCACUACUAUAGGAAAAAGAUGAAUAGGUUUGCAAGACUCCAGGCUGGAAGCCAGAAUUUAUUUUAGCUGAUGGAUUCUCUCCUAUGAUGUAGCUGAAAGGCCAACCAAGAAGUGGCUGGGACCUUGGUGAUGUGAGACCCAACUAAUACACAGAUAAUUAUUGCUUGGAUUCUUGCAAAGAAGGAAAAGCCCAGUCCAGAGAGAUCCCUCCAUUUCUACCAAGACUCUAUUUCCCACUUGCUAGAAAGAGCCAUAUAAACAGGAACAAAGCUUGCUAUGAAACCAACAAACAAAAAUCGACAAGAGAAUGCAGCGCCUAUGUUUUUUAUACCUGUAUUGCAAAAAGUGGAAAAACUGAAAGCGAUGGCAAUCUGUAUACGUGGGAUAGCUCUGCACAGAAAAACUCUUCCACUUCUGAUUCUGGAAAUUAUGGAGAGCUCCAUUUUCUUGAUAUGUGACUAUGCUGAGUACAGGCAAAUAAAAGAGGGCAGAAAGAUUUGAGUGGCAAAUGCAUUUUUUUUAAAUGUGG
RNAcentral lists this long non-coding RNA (541 nucleotides) under Equus caballus (horse). RNAcentral describes it as "lncRNA (ENSECAG00000037938.2)". Lineage: Eukaryota; Metazoa; Chordata; Mammalia; Perissodactyla; Equidae. The record is from RNAcentral.